UACGGAGGGUGCAAGCGUUGUCCGGAUUUAUUGGGUUUAAAGGGUGCGUAGGCGGCCCGUUAAGUCAGUGGUGAAGGCCUCCAGCUCAACUGGAGAACUGCCAUUGAUACUGACGGGCUUGAGUACAGACGAGGUUGGCGGAAUUGAUUGUGUAGCGGUGAAAUGCAUAGAUACAAUCAAGAACACCGAUUGCGUAGGCAGCUAACUAGGCUGUAACUGACGCUGAGGCACGAAAGCGUGGGGAGCGAACAGG
This 253-nucleotide ribosomal RNA is filed under the name uncultured bacterium. RNAcentral describes it as "partial 16S ribosomal RNA". It matches the Rfam family "Bacterial small subunit ribosomal RNA", at positions 524 to 776 of the family's 1533-position model. The record is from RNAcentral.